CUUGAUGGACGCAAGUCUCUUUUCAGCUAUGUAACUAUAAGUCAAAAGGCAUAUAAUCUAAUAGUUGCAAAGGCUGAAAAAAGAUUUGUGUCUAUCAAG
Pelobates cultripes (western spadefoot toad) is the source of this 99-nucleotide non-coding RNA. The record is from the annotation of a GenBank genome assembly. Lineage: Eukaryota; Metazoa; Chordata; Amphibia; Anura; Pelobatidae.